AAACUAACAAGGAUUCCCCUAGUAACGGCGAGUGAACAGGGAAGAGCUCAAAUUUGUAAUCUGGCGUCCCUUGGGCGUCCGAGUUGUAAUCUAUAGAAGCGUUUUCCGUGCUGGACCAUGUCCAAGUCCCUUGGAACAGGGUAUCAAAGAGGGUGACAAUCCCGUGCUUGACAUGACGACCAGUGCUCUGUGAUACGCUCUCUACGAGUCGAGUUGUUUGGGAAUGCAGCUCAAAAUGGGUGGUGAGUUCCAUCUAAAGCUAAAUAUUGGCGAGAGACCGAUAGCGAACAAGUACCGUGAGGGAAAGAUGAAAAGCACUUUGGAAAGAGAGUUAAACAGUACGUGAAAUUGUUGAAAGGGAAACGAUUGAAGUCAGUCGUGUCCAAGGGGUUCAGCCGGUCAUGCCGGUGUAUUCCCCUCGGAUGGGUCAACGUCAGUUUGGACCGGUGGAAAAGGGCGGUUGGAAUGUGGCAGCUCCGGCUGUGUUAUAGCCUUCCGUCGCACACGCCGGUCUAGACUGAGGAAUGCAGCUCGCCUUUAUGGCUGGGGUUCUCCCACAUUCGAGCUUAGGAUGUUGACAUAAUGGCUUUAAACGAC
This 597-nucleotide ribosomal RNA is filed under the name Kockovaella litseae. RNAcentral's name for it is "eukaryotic LSU rRNA". It matches the Rfam family "Eukaryotic large subunit ribosomal RNA", at positions 62 to 648 of the family's 3401-position model. The record is from RNAcentral. Lineage: Eukaryota; Fungi; Basidiomycota; Tremellomycetes; Tremellales; Cuniculitremaceae.